GACGAACGCUGGCGGCGUGCCUAAUACAUGCCAGUCGAACGCUUCUUUCCUCCCGAGUGCUUGCACUCAAUUGGAAGGAGGAGUGGCGGACGGGUGAGUAACACGUGGGUAACCUACCCAUCAGAGGGGGAUAACACUUGGAAACAGGUGCUAAUACCGCAUAACAGUUUAUGCCGCAUGGCAUAAGAGUGAAAGGCGCUUUCGGGUGUCGCUGAUGGAUGGACCCGCGGUGCAUUAGCUAGUUGGUGAGGUAACGGCUCACCAAGGCCACGAUGCAUAGCCGACCUGAGAGGGUGAUCGGCCACACUGGGACUGAGACACGGCCCAGACUCCUACGGGAGGCAGCAGUAGGGAAUCUUCGGCAAUGGACGAAAGUCUGACCGAGCAACGCCGCGUGAGUGAAGAAGGUUUUCGGAUCGUAAAACUCUGUUGUUAGAGAAGAACAAGGACGUUAGUAACUGAACGUCCCCUGACGGUAUCUAACCAGAAAGCCACGGCUAACUACGUG
RNAcentral lists this ribosomal RNA (508 nucleotides) under uncultured bacterium. RNAcentral describes it as "partial 16S ribosomal RNA". It matches the Rfam family "Bacterial small subunit ribosomal RNA", at positions 28 to 507 of the family's 1533-position model. The record is from RNAcentral.